RNAcentral lists this unclassified non-coding RNA (1638 nucleotides) under Hevea brasiliensis (rubber tree). Lineage: Eukaryota; Viridiplantae; Streptophyta; Magnoliopsida; Malpighiales; Euphorbiaceae. The record is from RNAcentral.
UUUGUACGGUAAAUUCCCCUUAAAAAACUCCCUGAUGGAUGGCAGAGUCAGAAAAUGGCACCAUUGAAAUCACUGGAGGCUCAGUACGGCAUUUUGGACUCCAAUUUCCAAUCUUUUUGUGCUUCCAACGGCAUUUUCACCGUUGAAGAUUUCCUCCUACAUGACCUCAGUGUUUUGGCUGCAUUUGCAGAACAAGAGCCCACCUCAGAGAGAUUGAAAGAGGGGAUCACCCAAGUCCUUUCUAUCAUAGACAGGCAGCACCAGCCAUGGUUGAAUGGCUUGCAGUUGUUGGAAGAUGCUCAACAGAAUAAACAUGUUUUAUCUACUGGAUUUAAGGGGAUUGAUAAGCUUCUUGAAGGUGGAUUGAGGGAGGGACAAUUGACUGAAUUGGUUGGGCCAUCAUCAUCUGGUAAAACCCAAGUAAGAACUAUUUUCAUUUGUAGUUUCAAGUGCACAUGUUGAUAUAAUGAAUACUUUUUAUUUGAGAUUUUGAGAAUCUAGCAAGUCUUGGGAGUUGAGCCUGGUAUACAAUCACUGUAUGAAAUGCAAUUACAUCACCUUCCAUGGGAGUGCAUAUUUAUAGGCUUUAAAUGUUUAAGAUUUUUAUUUGAAUAUGAUUACUCAGUGUCUUUUACAAGAUUUAGUUACUCUCUCAAAUUCUUGGUCAUGUUAAGCUUUGCUUACGAGUAGCUGCAAAUGUUGCGAUACAACACAAGGGUAGAGUUAUUUUCUUGGAUACAGGCAACUCUUUCUCACCCCGACGGAUUGAACACUUUGUUCGUCAGAUCUCUGGUUCUGUGUUUAAUGAGGUCAAAUAUUUUUUUGGUUUAUUCUCUUCCUUUAUUUUUUCAUUGUUUGUUUAGUCUGCCAUCCUCACAUGUGAACAUCUUCUACAACUAUCUUUCCCUUGUUAAUUUUUCCCAAAACAUUGUUCAGAAGGUAAUGAGCAAUAUAUUGUGCCACUCUACGUUUGACAUCUUUUCAAUGUUUGAUGUGCUACAUCAGCUAGAGAACAGUUUGAAAUCCCAGGUAUCCAUUAAGAUGAAGCAAUCUGUCUUGUGACUUUUUUUGGACCAUUUCAUUUUCAUGUCAUUCAACAUUUAUUGCUGGUUCAGGGGCACAAAGGAGAUUGUAAAGCACGGACACUAAUUGUUGAUUCGAUCUCAUCAUUGAUUACUCCUAUCCUUGGAGGAAGUGGUCCACAAGGACAUGCUCUGAUGACAUCUGCUGGCUUUUUAUUGAAGAAGUUAGCACAUGAGCUUAAUAUUGCAGUACUGGUGACCAAUCAUAUGGUGGCUGGAGAGGGAGGUAAUCUUAAACCAGCUCUUGGAGAGAGUUGGAAGAGCAUCCCACAUGUGAGGCUUCUGCUCUCCCGUGACCAGGGAAACAAAGCCUGCAGUAUUUCCAUACUAAAACACCCUUCCCUAGCUUCUGGUGAGGUUGCAAGAUUUGUGAUUGAUGACUAAUUGAAGGAUUGAUUUGUAACUUCUUAUUGUUGUAUCUAAUAGUCCUUCAGGCUCUUCUUAGUAAUGAAACUGGCACAAAUAUUUUUUUCCUUUUAAUUGCCCUAUUCUGAACAUGGGGGAAAGAGCAUUCAAACUUUGGCUUAUUGAUCUAAUAUAUCUUGUACUAUUCCAC